CUGUCAAAAGUGAAACAUCUUACAAGAUGUUUUCUGUCAUGCAAAGUGUCAAUAUUUCAUUGCUGAAUACAAAUUAGACAUCAAAUGAAAAUCACAGACCAAAAAAUCACCAUAAAAGUUAUUCAUUUAUAGCCACCAUUAAUUUUCAUUGGGUAUCUCCUAUUCACAAAUAAAAUGUUACUGAAAAGUGUCCUUUUAUGAAAUCAUGUAACUGCUAACUCCAUUAUCUACAGGAAAACCACAACCCAUCUUCUGAGUUGAAUUUGGAGAACUUCACAUGUACUACGUUGAGUCUGUUUACUGCCAGCACAGAGACGGUCCCCAUCACACUGAAACACAUGGAGCUGAAGGUCCCACAGGGUCCGUGCCAAGGUGGUGCCCAAACACAGGGACAUGAGGACAUGAACAAAGAAGGUUUGCUGUAGCAGAGGAACUGAAAUUGACAAGAUGAACCAGGAUGAGUCUCCUGGCAGUGGAUAUAAGGUCGUGCCCUAAAGAGAUAAUAAGACUCUGGCAGAACGACAUUGGCAAAUGUUACAGGAAAAGAGGAAAGUUUACCCAAAGAUAUUAUGGAAAUCUCCAAAAGAAGGACAAUGGAAAGACCCAGUGGAUUUCCUGAUGUGGGGACGAGAGUGUGCUUGUGUUUUGCAGAUCAAGAAAACCACACAGGAAGCUGAGAAACUGCUGUAGUGUCAGAGUCAGGUAAAACCCCCUGAUCCCAUGUUUAUGGCCAUGCUAGCUGUAAUAUCCUGUGCAGUAUGUUUUCCCUGUGUAGAGGCAAAAACAUAUUGGGCAUAUGUUCCUAACCCCCUGG
Molecule: non-coding RNA, 814 nt
Organism: Chlorocebus sabaeus (green monkey)
Lineage: Eukaryota; Metazoa; Chordata; Mammalia; Primates; Cercopithecidae
Source: RefSeq, a predicted model, not a curated record